This is a long non-coding RNA of Zonotrichia leucophrys gambelii, 692 nucleotides long. RefSeq lists it as uncharacterized. NCBI's taxonomy places the organism in Eukaryota, Metazoa, Chordata, Aves, Passeriformes, Passerellidae. The transcript is spliced from 5 exons. The record is from RefSeq and is a predicted model, not a curated record.
GAAAUAGCAAAUGUAUAUUUUUAGCCCCUAUAUUAAUGAAGUGGCUGAGGUAUCACUCCUGUUUGUUUUUGAAGGUAAAUCCUACUUCAGCUACAAAAAAGACACUAAAUAAGACUCAGAGCAUGAUCAGUUAACAGAUCAUGGCUCCAGCUGUCCUUGAAGUACAUGUGAAUUCAGACAUUGAUGUUAAUAGAAGCUCUGCUGGACCCUGAGUAACUGAAAUAAUGCAGAAAGCUACAGUCCUCACUGUGAAUAUCGCCUAAAAGACUGUUCUGCACCUCGGCACCUGGCAUCACUUGGUGACCUCCCUGAGGCUAAACACAAAGGAAAUUGUUGGAUUUCAAAAGCAAAGAUCUAUCCUCUGCUUGCAGAAUGCACCUUUCUAAAGGAAGAGUCACCAAAUGAGAAAGGGAUGGUUUAUGCACAAGUAACCCUCCAUCAAUUUUGAGCAAGUUAUAAGAACAGCAGCUUCCAUAAGCUUUGGUCCUGAGUGAGGCAAUAGCCUGUGGUGAAUAUCUGUGAUCCUGUAGCUGAAGGACAUGUCAUAAACAUAAUGACAAAGGAAUUACAAUUGUCCAAGGAAAUAAAUACAUGCACAGAAGGAUGCUGGAUUUUAUAAUGCACUGGAAAUUAAACACCUUUUCCUCUAGGAAAAUGAGGGUAGGAAGGUGUUUUCUUAUCCUGAAGGUUUU